AACGUGUAAAUAAUCUAGGAAGUGACGUGUUGAAGUUAAAACACAUAUACUAUAAUCGCUAAUAACAAACUCCGGAAGGAGUGAAAAAAUAAUUAUAAAAUAAUAAAAAUGAUUUCAGUUAUUCAGUUGGAGUCGAGGGGGAGUACUAAGCGACGGCGUUUUCAUCGGUGGUUUACUCGUUGACCAGGUUGGUUAGUUCUGGUUCUUAUUUAAACAGUGUCGUCUCGUCGAAUGAGAACUAUCUUUUUUCUUUCUCUUUGGAUCUCUUCUCUGCUCCCAACCCCAUCCAACAUUUUUAAGGUUUGUUAUGUCGGAAGUCCCUGAUUUUCUGGUCUAAGAUUCUAAGUAGUUAAGAGUUAGUUGUAAUUUAUUUUUAUUGUUAUUGUUCUGUCAAAAUGUGGAGUUUUGCUUCAAAUACCAUUGCUAGCAUUGGGUUAAAAUGUUCAAAAGAGGCGAAUCAAGCUUGUUCCGAGUGUUCAGAUGAUGAGCUGUGUUCAAAUGGUAGUAGAGAUGAAGGAUUAGAGUGUCCCAUUUGUUGGGAACCUUUCAACAUUGUUGAGAAUGUGCCUUAUGUCUUAUGGUGUGGUCACACUCUUUGCCAAAAUUGUAUCCUGGGUCUCCAACCUGCUGUUUUGAAACUCCCCACUCAGCAAAUCAAGAUCCCCAUGUUCAUUUCUUGCCCAUGGUGCCACUUAAUAGCGCUACGGCUAGUUUAUAAGGGGAACCUCAAGUUCCCUCGGAAGAACUUCUUCAUUUUGUGGAUGAUCGAGAGUUUGAAUGGGGAUAGGUAUGGCAUUUCCAGGAGAAAUCUAUCUGGGGACAAUCAAGCCGUUGGCUCUCUGAGAUGUAAUUUAAUGCUUGGCAAUCAAGCUAUCAGUGGUGUUGUUAGGAGAGGAUCAUAUGCCAAUCGUUCUGAACAAAAUAGGUCUCUAGAUACUGGUGGCAGAAAUAAUGCUGAGAGGCAUCAUUUCUCGCUUCAUAAAUCAUUGGAUUUCUUCAUUCACUUUACAUCCAAGUUCCCAUUGGUCAUCAUUUUCCUUCUGGUUGUCUUCUUUGCAAUACCGGGGAGUGCUGUUAUCUUAUUACUCCACUUUCUGGUCACAGUUGUUUUUGCCAUCCCGUCUUUCUUGGUACUGUACUUUGCAUUCCCUAUGUUGGAUAGGUUGGUAAGAGAAAUCACCUCAUGAGAUGUUGCUUUCUCACUUCAAAGGUCAGAGAGAUAUAUGGUUCCAAGUGAACACAUCUAUCCGUGUGAUCAUCCUUCUUCCAAUGCUCGCUCCACUGCUUUUAUUUGAAAUUUAGUAGCUCCACGCUGGUAAUGGGAUUUUUUAGUAUCCUGAAGCUUUCAGAUUAAUGCAUUGUUUUUGAUAUGGACUGUGACUGAGUGACUUCAAAACAUCUCAAAAGCUUGUUUUGGAAAUUGUGGUUGUGCCCUUAAUUAAAUGUCAUUGAAAUGUCAACUUACUUGUUGUACAAGCUUGAGUUCUCAAAAGAAUAUAAUUUGCAGUUAAUUGUGGUGUUUUUUUUUUUGUUUAUUUUCAUAAUUUUUCUGCAUUUUUAUAUACAAUUUGCUACUUUAUAUCGUUGCAGACAGUUCAAGUUAAGAUAAAUGGUUUUGCCGGUUGCUUAAUCUUUUAGCCCUUGAAAAUUAUGAGGACUCAUUGCAGCUUUUGUCAUUGUGGUGUAUGGCUUUACUUCCUAUUAUAUUUUAACUGGUUUUUUUUAACUAUUUCUGAAUGCACAAAUGGCCUCGUUGCUUUUGUCUAACUUGGGCUCGUAUCUCCUGCUAUCUGAUGAUUAUUGAAAUAAAGCUUGCUGCAUUAACCUUGAAGAUUCUGCUUAUCUUCAUUUUAUUCUUGUGCAUGAUAUAGAGCUCUUUUCAUUAUGGUUCAAAUUCAGCGUGGAAACUUGCAGUAUUGUUUAUCUUUUGGUGACAGUUGAAUGUUCAUGCACAAUCUAAAAGCCCUAGUAAGAUAUGGUUAACUAAGGAUUUAAACUCUCAGCAUGUUCUUGUUAUCCUCAAGGUUUUUGCAGUUUCAAGUAUUAGUUUCUUGUUAUUCAGUAGUAAUGGUGGGAGGUAUUCAGAUGGUUGGAGGGUUUAUUUAUUUAUUUUAUUUUUGUACUUUAGAUUUAUAAUUUCCAGAAAAAGUUGGAUUUUCAUUCAUGCUUCUGCAGCAAUUGAAGUUUGGAUUAUACUGUCAAUCUUCGAGACUAUUCAAAUUCCUUCAUGAUCAAAAUAAUAUAAAACAAUUUCUGCAUUUUAUCGUCACAUCAUUUGCGCUGUAAAUUUAUUAUUUUAUUUUGAGUAACAGAGUCUUUGUCCAAGACAAGGGCUAGGAUUUUCUGCAUGAGCUGCUAUAUGGCUUCAUAUAUGUUCAUACUAAAAGCAUUGUGUAGUGGUUUUAUAUGUGACUUGAAAGUCAUGAUACUACUUAUUAGUUAAAUUCAACAGCAGAAGCAUGUCAUUGGAAGCUCUCCUGUUGUUCUAAUUAUGUUUGCCUUUUCCUUUGCUUUAAGCUCAUCAUUUCUUUGUCUAGCAUUUGCCUGUGCUUUUGCUCCAUCUGCAACUUGUUUGAUGUAGUCCAUUUCAUUCCUAAAUUUGGUUAAGGCUCUUGCUCUCUUUUUCUCCGAUUCACUCUUCUGCUUGAAGAAUUAAGCUGUUAGUUUCUAAGAAAUAGUUGUAAAUUAGAAAAGAAAACCAUGUCUAACUUCUGAAUAAGCUGUUAGUUUCUAAGAAUUAGUUCGACUUUAGAAAACAAGUCUAACCUCUGCUUUGUCCAGCUUGCUUCUGGCCUUCUUUUUCUUCUUUUCCUCCCAUUCGAGUAUAGUGUUAUUUAACUUCACAUACCUGUAAUUCAUUGUUAGUGAAGAAGAUCAUAUACUUCUAAUUGCCUACAACUGUUUAGUACUAAACAAUUACUGCUUCUCGGUGUCAAUGUAUUAUUACCGGUCUUUGAUUUUAACCAUCUCUGCUUUCUCCCAAGCAUCUGCUUUUGCUUGAUCUGACCCUGGCCUUACUGUAUGCUGUCUUUUGGGUUCUACCACCGGAGGCACAGGUUUAGGGGUAGGAGGCAGUUCGGGUCUUGUUGCAGGAGUUCCUGGUUUAAUGGCAUGAUGGUCUGGUUUUGAUGUUGCUCUUUCAGGUUUCGGUGCUGCACGUUCUGGUUGACUGGAAAGUGUAUCAGGUUUCCGGGAACUUCCAGGUUCUGUACGACUAGAGCUGCCCGCGUUAUCAGUAAAAAUAGGAGGUCUUCUAAACGAUGACCCAUGUCUAGUUGCUUUUUCAUCUUUGGCAUCGGGUACUGGCACUUUGAUGUCUGCACUGUCUGGAACUUUCUUGGAACCUUCACCUGUUAAUUUGUUUUGGUUAAACAGGCAGCAAGAAGAAUUCUUAAUGCUUUGUUACAUGGAUAUCCGGAUUCUAUUUCUUAUGCCUUGAAUCUUUACCUGAAAAUUGUUCAGAUACGAUGCCAGGUUUCCAUGUUGAAAAUGUUGGACCUUCCUUUCUGUUCUUGUCCUUGAUCGAAGAGGGUUCUGCAAUCGAUGUAAUGACAUAUGCAGCAGCUGCAACUCCAACUACUUGCUCUGUUAUAUAGUUUGAAUCAUGAUUCCAACUAGUCAUUUUGCCAGAAAAUUGGUUUUGAAACCAAUAAUGGGUUCUCUUCUCUGCAAAAUCGGAAGUUAAGCUUCAAAGAAUCAAGGGAUGUUAUUUGCUCAUCCAGGAUUGAACAUUUAAGAGAUUUGGAUACAAUAUAAUACAAAAAACAACAGAGUUAUACCUCCUUUGAAAUGGUGGUAGACUUUGGUUUCUAGUACUGCUCAAUUAAUCUUCUGCUUUUCCCGGCCGGCACCAGAAAAUGGCAUAAGCGAUCAGUCUAAGGAUUAUGCAGAUAAAAUUAGAAAAAGAAAAACAUUUCAUCAUGAUUUGAAUUAAAUAAUGUUGGGUGAGAGAUAAUAGAAUUAUUACCUAUAGAUGCAAGUAAUCUGGUUGAUGGCAGAUUCCUGUAUCAAAAACAAAGGAGAAUGAGGUGUGGCAAAUUCUUCAUUAAUGGGUUCAAGAAAGAAAAGUGGAGGUAUACAAGGAAUGAAUAGGUUGGGUGGUUUAUAAAAGCAAAGACGAGGGAAGAAGUGGUGGUGUAGGUGAUGUUCAUAGGCGUAGAGACGAGCAGGCAAAGCAAGCUUGGGUUAUAUGCAUUACUUUGUUCGCAUGCAAAAGUCGGCUUUGGAUAUUCUUAACCCUCAGUCUACCACAAGAUACGUAUUCUUUCUUUGUCUUCAGGCUUUUGGGUUUAUAUUUAUUUCAUCUCUUUUUAAACAGUCUCGAGGGACGUUUCCUUUCCCAAAAGUUUGACAAGAAUCUUGUUUUUGUCUGCUCACCUAGCUUUGCCUUUUUUAUAUCUUUUUAGUCAUUGCCUACGUUAUUACCACCACGCUUUUCAAGUUUUUAAAUCUAUUUAUUGUAUUUUUUUUCCAAACAAAUUUAUAAAUGUUACUAUAUAA
Molecule: RNA transcript, 4500 nt
Organism: Gossypium arboreum
Lineage: Eukaryota; Viridiplantae; Streptophyta; Magnoliopsida; Malvales; Malvaceae
Exons: 3
Source: RefSeq, a predicted model, not a curated record